GAUGAACGCUAGCUACAGGCUUAACACAUGCAAGUCGCGGGGCAGCAUGGGGGUUGCUUGCAACCCCUGAUGGCGACCGGCGCACGGGUGAGUAACGCGUAUCCAACCUGCCCUUCACCACGGGAUAACCCGGCGAAAGUCGGACUAAUACCGUAUGUUGUCCAUUGACGGCAUCCGAUUUGGACGAAAGGCUUAGCGGUGAGGGAUGGGGAUGCGUCCGAUUAGCUUGACGGCGGGGUAACGGCCCACCGUGGCAACGAUCGGUAGGGGUUCUGAGAGGAAGGUCCCCCACACUGGAACUGAGACACGGUCCAGACUCCUACGGGAGGCAGCAGUGAGGAAUAUUGGUCAAUGGGCGGAAGCCUGAACCAGCCAAGUAGCGUGCAGGAUGACGGCCCUAUGGGUUGUAAACUGCUUUUAUGCGGGGAUAAAGUGGCCCACGUGUGGGUUUUUGCAGGUACCGC
RNAcentral lists this ribosomal RNA (464 nucleotides) under Prevotella sp. oral taxon 317. Its description in RNAcentral is "bacterial SSU rRNA". It matches the Rfam family "Bacterial small subunit ribosomal RNA", at positions 28 to 481 of the family's 1533-position model. Lineage: Bacteria; Pseudomonadati; Bacteroidota; Bacteroidia; Bacteroidales; Prevotellaceae. The record is from RNAcentral.